AGUAACACGUGGGUAACCUGCCUUAUAGUGGGGGAUAGCCUUUCGAAAGGAAGAUUAAUACCGCAUAAGAUUGUAGUAUCGCAUGAUAUAGCAAUUAAAGGAGCAAUCCGCUAUAAGAUGGACCCGCGUCGCAUUAGCUAGUUGGUGAGGUAAUGGCUCACCAAGGCGACGAUGCGUAGCCGACCUGAGAGGGUGAACGGCCACUGGGACUGAGACACGGCCCAGACUCCUACGGGAGGCAGCAUG
RNAcentral lists this ribosomal RNA (246 nucleotides) under uncultured bacterium. Its description in RNAcentral is "partial 16S ribosomal RNA". It matches the Rfam family "Bacterial small subunit ribosomal RNA", at positions 109 to 353 of the family's 1533-position model. The record is from RNAcentral.